RNAcentral lists this ribosomal RNA (171 nucleotides) under Sargocentron sp. RGIP_8866. RNAcentral's name for it is "partial small subunit ribosomal RNA". Lineage: Eukaryota; Metazoa; Chordata; Actinopteri; Holocentriformes; Holocentridae. The record is from RNAcentral.
CACCGCGGUUAUACGAGAGGUCCAAGUUGAUAAUAACCGGCGUAAAGAGUGGUUAGGGAAGACAUACUAAACUAAAGCCAAACACCUUCAGAACUGUUAUACGUACCCGAAGGCAUGAAGAACUACCACGAAAGUGGCUUUACUAACCCUGAACCCACGAAAGCUAUGUCA